RNAcentral lists this ribosomal RNA (499 nucleotides) under uncultured bacterium. RNAcentral's name for it is "partial 16S ribosomal RNA". It matches the Rfam family "Bacterial small subunit ribosomal RNA", at positions 30 to 523 of the family's 1533-position model. The record is from RNAcentral.
AUUGAACGCUGGCGGCAUGCCUUACACAUGCAAGUCGAUCGGCAGCACGGGAGCAAUCCUGGUGGCGAGUGGCGAACGGGUGAGUAAAGCAUCGGAACGUGCCCAGUCGUGGGGGAUAACGUAGCGAAAGCUACGCUAAUACCGCAUACGAUCUGUGGAUGAAAGCGGGGGACCGUAAGGCCUCGCGCGAUUGGAGCGGCCGAUGUCAGAUUAGGUAGUUGGUGAGGUAAAGGCUCACCAAGCCGACGAUCUGUAGCUGGUCUGAGAGGACGACCAGCCACACUGGGACUGAGACACGGCCAGACUCCUACGGGAGGCAGCAGUGGGGAAUUUUGGACAAUGGGCGCAAGCCUGAUCCAGCAAUGCCGCGUGCAGGAUGAAGGCCUUCGGGUUGUAAACUGCUUUUGUACGGAGCGAAACGGCUUCCACUAAUACUGGGGGCUAAUGACGGUACCGUAAGAAUAAGCACUGGCUAACUACGUGCCAGCCGCCGCCGUAA